Molecule: small nucleolar RNA, 110 nt
Filed under: Trametes pubescens
Lineage: Eukaryota; Fungi; Basidiomycota; Agaricomycetes; Polyporales; Polyporaceae
Source: RNAcentral
UCGAGAUGAGUUUUUUUUAGAUGACGAGUCUGAAAUGCUGCCAAAGAGUUUCUCUGAGGCAGCAGUCCUUGACGAUACUAUAAAAUUAUACCAUUCAUGCUUUUCUGAAC